GACGAACGCUGGCGGCGUGCCUAAUACAUGCAAGUCGAACGCACUCUCGUUUAGAUUGAAGGAGCUUGCUCCUGAUUGAUAAACAUUUGAGUGAGUGGCGGACGGGUGAGUAACACGUGGGUAACCUGCCCUAAAGUGGGGGAUGACAUUUGGAAACAGAUGCUAAUACCGCAUAAAACCUAACACCGCAUGGUGUAGGGUUGAAAGAUGGUUUCGGCUAUCACUUUAGGAUGGACCCGCGGUGCAUUAGUUAGUUGGUGAGGUAAAGGCUCACCAAGACCGUGAUGCAUAGCCGACCUGAGAGGGUAAUCGGCCACACUGGGACUGAGACACGGCCCAGACUCCUACGGGAGGCAGCAGUAGGGAAUCUUCCACAACUGGACGAAAGUCUGAUGGAGCAACGCCGCGUGAGUGAAGAAGGUUUUC
Molecule: ribosomal RNA, 426 nt
Filed under: uncultured bacterium
Lineage: Bacteria
Description: bacterial SSU rRNA
Rfam family: Bacterial small subunit ribosomal RNA
Source: RNAcentral